Molecule: long non-coding RNA, 233 nt
Filed under: Lathyrus oleraceus (garden pea)
Lineage: Eukaryota; Viridiplantae; Streptophyta; Magnoliopsida; Fabales; Fabaceae
Description: Pisum sativum (pea) long non-coding RNA (PSAT_LNC025972)
Source: RNAcentral
GCAAUUAGAAGUUUUUAUUUAACUUCUGUAUGUGUGCUGCUAUGUGAAGUUUUUAUUUAACUUCCAUCUGUGUGAGUGUGCUGCUACUCUGAGUGUAUUAGCUAGGUUAAUUUCCUGCUAGAUGUGUGAUUUCCGCUGCUAUGGACUCUGUUGUGAGACCAAAGUGUUUUAGCCAAAAAUUUGCCAAAGGGGGAGUUUGUAGAUGUUUAAUUGGCUGCAUUGUAUGGUAAAAC